CUUGCUACUGUUGCUGACAGAGCGGGCAGGACGGGUGAGUAAUGCUUGGGAACAUGCCUUGAGGUGGGGGACAACAGUUGGAAACGACUGCUAAUACCGCAUAAUGUCUACGGACCAAAGGGGGCUUCGGCUCUCGCCUUUAGAUUGGCCCAAGUGGGAUUAGCUAGUUGGUGAGGUAAUGGCUCACCAAGGCGACGAUCCCUAGCUGGUUUGAGAGGAUGAUCAGCCACACUGGGACUGAGACACGGCCCAGACUCCUACGGGAGGCAGCAGUGGGGAAUAUUGCACAAUGGGCGCAAGCCUGAUGCAGCCAUGCCGCGUGUGUGAAGAAGGCCUUCGGGUUGUAAAGCACUUUCAGUCAGGAGGAAAGGUUAGUAGUUAAUACCUGCUAGCUGUGACGUUACUGACAGAAGAAGCACCGGCUAACUCCGUGCCAGCAGCCGCGGUAAUACGGAGGGUGCGAGCGUUAAUCGGAAUUACUGGGCGUAAAGCGUACGCAGGCGGUUUGUUAAGCGAGAUGUGAAAGCCCCGGGCUCAACCUGGGAACUGCAUUUCGAACUGGCAAACUAGAGUGUGAUAGAGGGUGGUAGAAUUUCAGGUGUAGCGGUGAAAUGCGUAGAGAUCUGAAGGAAUACCGAUGGCGAAGGCAGCCACCUGGGUCAACACUGACGCUCAUGUACGAAAGCGUGGGGAGCAAACGGGAUUAGAUACCCCGGUAGUCCACGCCGUAAACGAUGUCUACUAGAAGCUCGGAACCUCGGUUCUGUUUUUCAAAGCUAACGCAUUAAGUAGACCGCCUGGGGAGUACGGCCGCAAGGUUAAAACUCAAAUGAAUUGACGGGGGCCCGCACAAGCGGUGGAGCAUGUGGUUUAAUUCGAUGCAACGCGAAGAACCUUACCUACA
RNAcentral lists this ribosomal RNA (904 nucleotides) under Pseudoalteromonas sp. TB27. RNAcentral's name for it is "bacterial SSU rRNA". It matches the Rfam family "Bacterial small subunit ribosomal RNA", at positions 72 to 979 of the family's 1533-position model. The record is from RNAcentral. Lineage: Bacteria; Pseudomonadati; Pseudomonadota; Gammaproteobacteria; Alteromonadales; Pseudoalteromonadaceae.